CAUUCAGGGAGAAGGAGCCAUUACAGUCAGCUCUGUUGUGGAAUCGUUUUUUUAGGAAAAUUCCUGCGUUUUAAAACACAUUCCUAUUUUUGUACUGACUACAAUAAUGGAGCCAUUCUCUGACCAGAUUGUGAUGUUCAUGCUGGCUGCAAGCAUGGAGGAAAAGAGUGCUGGUGAACAUCAGGAUCAAGAUCAGCAAAUGUCUGCAUUGGGUGAGCCAGUAUUGCGGGUUUCAUUUCCACGUCCACGCCAGUAUCGCACUAGGCGUGAACUGGAGGAUCUCAGCGAGUUCGAGGUGAUACAAAAUUAUCGCUUAUCGACUCGCGACAUAUAUUCGCUGUACGCUCUGUUGGAGGCCUGUCCUGGAACCUCGGGCACGGUCCAACCGUGCAGUCAGCGGUUUCCAGAAACUGCUGGGUACGUUACAUUUUUUGGCGUCAGGCACAUUCCAGCCUACACUGUCUCAAACAUGCGGUUUUUCACAGUCGACACUGUCGCGCUGUAUAACCCAGGUCAUUAGGGCUUUCCGCAAAUUGACCAUCCAGUACAUCACAUUUCCAGAGACGGAUAGCGAAUGUCGUGAGAUCAAAUUAGGCUUUUUCACCAAAUACAAAUUUCCCAAUGUGCUGGGCGCGAUUGACUGUACCCACGUGCAGAUCGGACCGCCACGGAAUUCAGAAGAAUGUUUUCGGAACCGAAAACAUUUCCAUUCCCUGAAUGUACAGGCGGUCUGUGAUGUCAACAUGAGAUUUUUGAACAUUUUUGUGGGAUUUCCUGGAUCGUCUCACGACUCCUUCAUCCUAAGCCAGUCAUCACUGUUUGACAAGUUCGAAACAGGAAACAUGCCUGGUGGCUGGCUGCUAGGUGAUGCGGGUUAUCCAAACAAAUCGUGGCUCUUGACCCCAUUGUCUAAUCCUGUUGGUAGAGCAGAAAAACGUUACCAAGAGACACACAUUGCAUCGAGGCAAAUAAUUGAACGUACCUUCGGUGUACUUAAAAGCCGGUUUCGAUGUUUAGACACUUCCAGCGGUGCUCUUUUGUACUCACCGGCGAAGGUUUGCGGCAUGGUAAAUGCAUGUUGUAUUUUACACAACAUAUGUGUCGCAAACCGUUUGCCGGUGACUCUUCGUCGCAGUGCUUUCCGACGCGGGAACCGUUCUUCUGCUGUACCGGUGGGUAUGGAUGAAGGAGAUGAUUCCCGGCGGACAGUGAUACAAAACUUUUUUUCGGUUGCCUAGUUUUACGUCCUGUUGAUGUGCAUUCCCAGGCCUGUUUUGUCCUGUUGACGAAUCGUUACCCCCUGUUUUCUCCUGUUGUUGGUUUGCUGCAAAUUUUGGACCAUUUUAUCCAACUCUACCAUGGGCGACCUACUUGUGAUGUGGACCUGACCCUCCGCCAUGUAGCAGACAACCCCCCUCAGGUCUUGCGGUGUUUCCUUCCCAAGUGGCGUGGAUGUGAAGAUACACACAGUUCCAAUGAUGUUCCAUGGGCAACCAACUUGUGAUGUGGACCUGACCCUCCGCCAUGUAGCAGACAACCCCCCCUCAGGUCUUGCGGUGUUUCCUUCCAAAGUGGCGUGGAUGUGAAGAGACACACAGUUCCCCUGAUGUUCCAUGGGCGACCAACUUGUGAUGUGGACCUGACCCUCCGCCAUGUAGCAGACAACCCCCCCUCAGGUGAGAUGUAUUUCCCUAAACUCCCUCUUGUCCAAGUCACCCCGACAUGUCCAAAGUGCAGCCCUCCGGCAUUUGCCAAACUGCACAUCCAAUCAUUCCCUGAUACACCAAUACUGGUCAAGGGAAUGUUUGGAUGUGUAGUGACGCAAGUGCCGGGGGAUUGCAUUUGGGCCCACUGUAACCUGCUUGUGUCGUGUCGAUUGUACCUCUUCUUUUCAGUACCAGGGUGACACUUUACCAUUAGCUGGAACCUCAUACUGUUCUCUUCCACAGGUCUUGCGGUGUUUCCUUCCCAAGUGGCGUGGAUGUGAAGAGACACACAGUUCCCCUGAUGUUCCAUGGGCGACCAACUUGUGAUGUGGACCUGACCCUCCGCCAUGUAGCAGACAACCCCCCCUCAGGUGAGAUGUAUUUCCCUAAACUCCCUCUUGUCCAAGUCACCCCGACAUGUCCAAAGUGCAGCCCUCCGGCAUUUGCCAAACUGCACAUCCAAUCAUUCCCUGAUACACCAAUACUGGUCAAGGGAAUGUUUGGAUGUGUAGUGACGCAAGUGCCGGGGGAUUGCAUUUGGGCCCACUGUAACCUGCUUGUGUCGUGUCGAUUGUACCUCUUCUUUUCAGUACCAGGGUGACACUUUACCAUUAGCUGGAACCUCAUACUGUUCUCUUCCACAGGUCUUGCGGUGUUUCCUUCCCAAGUGGCGUGGAUGUGAAGAGACACACAGUUCCCCUGAUGUUCCAUGGGCGACCAACUUGUGAUGUGGACCUGACCCUCCGUCAUGUAGCAGACAACCCCCCCUCAGGUCUUGCGGUGUUUCCUUCCUAAGUGGCGUGGAUGUGAAGAGACACACAGUUCCCCUGAUGUUCCAUGGGCGACCAACUUGUGAUGUGGACCUGACCCUCCGCCAUGUAGCAGACAACCCCCUCUCAGGUGAGAUGUAUUUCCCUAAACUCCCUCUUGUCCAAGUCACCCCGACAUGUCCAAAGUGCAGCCCUCCGGCAUUUGCCAAACUGCACAUCCAAUCAUUCCCUGAUACACCAAUACUGGUCAAGGGAAUGUUUGGAUGUGUAGUGACGCAAGUGCCGGGGGAUUGCAUUUGGGCCCACUGUAACCUGCUUGUGUCGUGUCGAUUGUACCUCUUCUUUUCAGUACCAGGGUGACACUUUACCAUUAGCUGGAACCUCAUACUGUUCUCUUCCACAGGUCUUGCGGUGUUUCCUUCCCAAGUGGCGUGGAUGUGAAGAGACACACAGUUCCCCUGAUGUUCCAUGGGCGACCAACUUGUGAUGUGGACCUGACCCUCCGUCAUGUAGCAGACAACCCCCCCUCAGGUCUUGCGGUGUUUCCUUCCUAAGUGGCGUGGAUGUGAAGAGACACACAGUUCCCCUGAUGUUCCAUGGGCGACCAACUUGUGAUGUGGACCUGACCCUCCGCCAUGUAGCAGACAACCCCCCCUCAGGUCUUGCGGUGUUUCCUUCCCAAGUGGCGUGGAUGUGAAGAGACACACAGUUCCCCUGAUGUUCCAUGGGCGACCAACUUGUGAUGUGGACCUGACCCUCCGCCAUGUAGCAGACAACCCCCCCUCAGGUCUUGCGGUGUUUCCUUCCCAAGUGGCGUGGAUGUGAAGAGACACACAGUUCCCCUGAUGUUCCAUGGGCAACCAACUUGUGAUGUGGACCUGACCCUCCGCCAUGUAGCAGACAACCCCCCCUCAGGUCUUGCGGUGUUUCCUUCCCAAGUGGCGUGGAUGUGAAGAGACACACAGUUCCCCUGAUGUUCCAUGUGCGACCUACUUCUGUACAAUUCAACUUCAUAUCAAAUAUUUUUUAAUAAAAACCACAGAAAACUUCUCUUUUUAAAAAUUUAUUGAAGAAAAAUUGUAUUUGAUUAUUGAAAUAAAAAUUGAAAGGUAAUAAAAC
Pseudophryne corroboree (corroboree frog) is the source of this 3595-nucleotide long non-coding RNA. RefSeq lists it as uncharacterized. The transcript is spliced from 10 exons. The record is from RefSeq and is a predicted model, not a curated record. NCBI's taxonomy places the organism in Eukaryota, Metazoa, Chordata, Amphibia, Anura, Myobatrachidae.